Molecule: transfer RNA, 80 nt
Organism: Smittium culicis
Lineage: Eukaryota; Fungi; Kickxellomycota; Harpellomycetes; Harpellales; Legeriomycetaceae
Rfam family: tRNA
About the family: Transfer RNA (tRNA) molecules are approximately 80 nucleotides in length. Their secondary structure includes four short double-helical elements and three loops (D, anti-codon, and T loops).
Source: Rfam
ACGGAAGUGGUGGAAUGGUAUACACAUGGUAUUUAGGAUGCCACGGCCUAGUCGUAUGGGUUCAAAUCCCAUCUUCCGUA